UUCAUGUCAACUAGAAUUUUAAAAAUAUUACUACAACUUAUCCAUCACUUCAUCAAGCUUAAGAUAUCAGUCUGCAUUUCACGACGAUCGAGCAUUGGCCUAAGCUGUUUUCAUGUGCAGAAAUAAAAGCAAUCAUUACAAGAGGUAUUAAUACAUCGUCAAGUUUGUGCACAAUAAAAAGUUCUGGGUUAUAAGUUGCCAUGUCCAACGCAGGGAUACUUUCGAACAAGAUGGGCCGCAAAGCAACAAUCACGUCCUACUCCGGUCUUUUCUCCACUCCUUCCUCGACAUCAUGUACCACAACUUGAUGCUGGCUGAAUGACAAAAAGAAACAAGUUAGCUAGCAUCAGUUCAGAAUCGCACAACACUAUUUUGUAGUAUAAGCAAACUAAUGAGACAGUAUCAACCAACAUAUGAUUUGUGCACUGUGCAUAAAAAAAUCAAGACUACAAAUAUAGUUUAGGAACGCAAUCACAAGGCUGUCCAGUAACCUAAUUUGGUUACUUGAAAAAGUCUCCAGAUGAACAGGGCAAUAUAUUGCUGUGAGG
This 548-nucleotide ribosomal RNA is filed under the name Triticum aestivum (bread wheat). RNAcentral describes it as "partial small subunit ribosomal RNA". The record is from RNAcentral. Lineage: Eukaryota; Viridiplantae; Streptophyta; Magnoliopsida; Poales; Poaceae.